UACUUCUCAACCCCGCUUUAUUAAUUUAGAGUAGUUUGGGCUUGGAUCAUGAUCGUUGCCGGCUUAAUUGCCAGGCUCGAUUGAAAUACAACAAGCUGGAUGAUGCUAUUAGCGGCUUGAACCUAACGUUGUAAUUACUAUUCGUUAGGCUACGCUUUCAGUAACAAUGAGCUUACCAAUUCAUUAAGAACUUUAUUGUUCA
RNAcentral lists this unclassified non-coding RNA (202 nucleotides) under uncultured fungus. RNAcentral describes it as "sequence contains ITS2". Lineage: Eukaryota; Fungi. The record is from RNAcentral.